Long non-coding RNA from Nyctereutes procyonoides (raccoon dog), 883 nucleotides. RefSeq lists it as uncharacterized. The transcript has 2 exons. The record is from RefSeq and is a predicted model, not a curated record. Lineage: Eukaryota; Metazoa; Chordata; Mammalia; Carnivora; Canidae.
CCGGUUAGAAUAAAUCUUACCUCAAGAUGAGACCUUUCUUCCUAUUGUCCCAAGUGACUAGGAAGCUGGUGCUGCUCACCUGUUGUCUGUCUAAACCUCUGAUGGUGUUGAUUGUGAUGAUGCUGAAAAGUGGAGCAGCUGGCCCAUGGGGCAGACCUUGUCCUGUUCUAGUAUUAUGACUUGUGCUGUUGUUUGCUUGUUUUUAGGAUGUGUGUCCCAUUACGCUAGAUAGUAUAUGGAACUCAAAGGAACAGUUCUUACUUCAGGGUAAUUUGUGUUUCCCAUGGGUUUGGUUUUAUCUUUCAGUGUUUGCUGAGUAUGUGGCUGGUUCCCCAGGUAAUUAUUAUUUUUAAGAUUGUAUUUAUUUAUUCAUGAGAGACACAGACAGGAAGGCAGAGACACAGGGAGAGGGAGGACCAGACUCCCGGUGGGGAGCCCAAUUUGGGACUCAAUCCUGGGACCCCAGGACCAUGCCCCUGAGCUGACGGCAGACACUCAGCCCCUGAGCUACCCAGGGAUCCCCGGCAUGCCCUGUUUUAAGAGCUUUGCAUAUUUUAAUUUAUUUUUGCAAAUCUAUGAAGUAGAUGCUUUCAUCAUUCCCAUUUUACAGAUGAGAAAACUUAACGUAAGACUGAAGAAUUUCCUCAAGAUCACAGUGCUUGCACAGAGGAGUAUCUAUGUUAUAGUUCCUGUAUCUAGAGGAUAAAGAAGUUCAAGUUCUUCCUUCAAAGAAUCAUCAGAAUAACAUGGAUUGAAGAGACUUUGGAACACUUGCCAUCUCUUGCUGCUGCUGUUACAUGAAAGGAAAUAUUAAACAUUUGUUUAAUUUUUAGAUAAGUGUAAUACAUAUUUCACCAAAUAAAAUAUUUCAGUGGUUGCAUUA